GUCUCUGUGGCGCAAUCGGUACGCGUUCGGCUGUUAACCGCAAGGUUGGUGGUUCAAGCCCACCCAGGGACG
RNAcentral lists this transfer RNA (72 nucleotides) under Saccoglossus kowalevskii. RNAcentral's name for it is "tRNA-Asn". It matches the Rfam family "tRNA". Rfam says of the family: Transfer RNA (tRNA) molecules are approximately 80 nucleotides in length. Their secondary structure includes four short double-helical elements and three loops (D, anti-codon, and T loops). Lineage: Eukaryota; Metazoa; Hemichordata; Enteropneusta; Harrimaniidae. The record is from RNAcentral.